GACGAACGCUGGCGGCGUGCCUAAUACAUGCAAGUAGAACGCUGAAGGAGGAGCUUGCUCUUCUGGAUGAUUUGCGAACGGGUGAGUAACGCGUAGGUAACCUGCCUGGUAGAGGGGGAUAACUAUUGGAAACGAUAGCUAAUACCGCAUAACAGUAGAUGUUGCAUGACAUUUACUUGAAAAGUGCAAUUGCAUCACUACCAGAUGGACCUGCGUUGUAUUAUCUAGUUGGUGGGGUAAAGGCUCACCAAGGCGACGAUACAUAGCCGACCUGAGGGGGGGAUCGGCCACACUGGGACCGGGACACGGCCCCGACUCCCACGGGAGGCAGCAGUAGGGAAACUUCGGCAAUGGACGGAAGUCUGACCGAGCAACGCCGCGGGAGUGAAGAAGGUUUUCGGAUCGUAAAGCUCCGUUGUAAGAGAAGGACGAGUGUGGGAGUGGAAAGUUCACACUGUGACGGUAUCUUACCAGAAAGGGACGGCUAACUACGUG
Molecule: ribosomal RNA, 495 nt
Filed under: uncultured bacterium
Lineage: Bacteria
Description: partial 16S ribosomal RNA
Rfam family: Bacterial small subunit ribosomal RNA
Source: RNAcentral